RNAcentral lists this ribosomal RNA (497 nucleotides) under uncultured bacterium. RNAcentral describes it as "partial 16S ribosomal RNA". It matches the Rfam family "Bacterial small subunit ribosomal RNA", at positions 28 to 507 of the family's 1533-position model. The record is from RNAcentral.
GAUGAACGCUGGCGGCGUGCCUAAUACAUGCAAGUCGAGCGAACGGACGAGAAGCUUGCUUCUCUGAUGUUAGCGGCGGACGGGUGAGUAACACGUGGAUAACCUACCUAUAAGACUGGGAUAACUUCGGGAAACCGGAGCUAAUACCGGAUAAUAUUUUGAACCGCAUGGUUCAAAAGUGAAAGACGGUCUUGCUGUCACUUAUAGAUGGAUCCGCGCUGCAUUAGCUAGUUGGUAAGGUAACGGCUUACCAAGGCAACGAUGCAUAGCCGACCUGAGAGGGUGGUCGGCCACCCUGGAACUGAGACACGGUCCAGACUCCUACGGGAGGCAGCAGUAGGGAAUCUUCCGCAAUGGGCGAAAGCCUGACGGAGCAACACCGCGUGAGUGAUGAAGGUCUUCUGAUCGUAAAACUCUGUUAUUAGGGAAGAACAUAUGUGUAAGUAACUGUGCACAUCUUGACGGUACCUAAUCAGAAAGCCACGGCUAACUACGUG